GACGAACGCUGGCGGCGUGCUUAACACAUGCAAGUCGAACGGAAAGGCCCUGCUUUUUCGGGGUGCUCGAGUGGCGAACGGGUGAGUAACACGUGAGUAACCUACCCUUGACUUUGGGAUAACUUCAGGAAACUGGGGCUAAUACCAGAUAGGAGCUCCUGCAGCAUGGUGGGCGUUGGAGAGUCUCGGCGGUUGGGGAUGGACUCGCGGCUAAUAAGCUAGUUGGUGGGGUAGUGGCAUACCAAGGCUUGGGCGGGUAGCCGGCCUGAGAGGGUGACCGGCCACAUGAGGACUGAGAGACGGCCCAGUCUGCUACAGGAGGCAGCAGUGGGAAAUAUUACACAAUGGGCGCAAGCCUGUGGCAGCAACGCCGCGUGCGGGAUGACGGCCUGCGGGUUAUAAACCGCUUCCGCCUAUGACGAAGCGGGAGUGACGGUAAUGGGUAAAGAAGCACCGGCUAACUACGUG
RNAcentral lists this ribosomal RNA (468 nucleotides) under uncultured bacterium. RNAcentral's name for it is "partial 16S ribosomal RNA". It matches the Rfam family "Bacterial small subunit ribosomal RNA", at positions 28 to 507 of the family's 1533-position model. The record is from RNAcentral.